RNAcentral lists this ribosomal RNA (490 nucleotides) under uncultured bacterium. RNAcentral's name for it is "bacterial SSU rRNA". It matches the Rfam family "Bacterial small subunit ribosomal RNA", at positions 903 to 1397 of the family's 1533-position model. The record is from RNAcentral.
AAAUGAAUAGACGGGGGCCCGCACAAGCAGUGGAGUAUGUGGUUUAAUUCGAAGCAACGCGAAGAACCUUACCAGGGCUUGACAUCCCUCGAAUAGAUUAGAGAUAAUCUAGUCCUUCGGGACGAGGAGACAGGUGGUGCAUGGUUGUCGUCAGCUCGUGUCGUGAGAUGUUGGGUUAAGUCCCGCAACGAGCGCAACCCCUGUUGUUAGUUACCAUCAUUAAGUUGGGGACUCUAACGAGACUGCCGGUGACAAAUCGGAGGAAGGUGGGGACGACGUCAAAUCAUCAUGCCCCUUAUGUCCUGGGCUACACACGUACUACAAUGGCCACUACAGAGGGAAGCUAAGCUGUAAAGUGGAGCAAACCCCUAAAAGUGGUCCCAGUUCGGAUUGUGGGCUGCAACUCGCCCACAUGAAGCCGGAAUUGCUAGUAAUGGCAGGUCAGCAUACUGCCGUGAAUACGUUCCCGGGCCUUGUACACACCGCCCGU